AUACGUAGGUGGCAAGCGUUGUCCGGAUUUAUUGGGCGUAAAGCGAGUGCAGGCGGUCUUUUAAGUCUGAUGUGAAAGCCUUCGGCUUAACCGAAGAAGGGCAUCGGAAACUGGGAGACUUGAGUGCAGAAGAGGAGAGUGGAACUCCAUGUGUAGCGGUGAAAUGCGUAGAUAUAUGGAAGAACACCAGUGGCGAAGGCGGCUCUCUGGACCGUAACUGACGCUGAGGCAUGAAAGCGUGGGUAGC
This 247-nucleotide ribosomal RNA is filed under the name uncultured bacterium. RNAcentral describes it as "partial 16S ribosomal RNA". It matches the Rfam family "Bacterial small subunit ribosomal RNA", at positions 523 to 769 of the family's 1533-position model. The record is from RNAcentral.